RNAcentral lists this ribosomal RNA (253 nucleotides) under uncultured bacterium. Its description in RNAcentral is "partial 16S ribosomal RNA". It matches the Rfam family "Bacterial small subunit ribosomal RNA", at positions 524 to 776 of the family's 1533-position model. The record is from RNAcentral.
UACGUAGGGUGCAAGCGUUAAUCGGAAUUACUGGGCGUAAAGCGUGCGCAGGCGGCUUUGCAAGACAGAUGUGAAAUCCCCGGGCUUAACCUGGGAACUGCAUUUGUGACUGCAUGGCUGGAGUGCGGCAGAGGGGGAUGGAAUUCCGCGUGUAGCAGUGAAAUGCGUAGAUAUGCGGAGGAACACCGAUGACGAAGGCAAUCCCCUGGGCCUGCACUGACGCUCAUGCACGAAAGCGUGGGGAGCAAACAGG